GUUAAUUUUUUUUUUCUCAAGAAUGUGUCAUGUAUAUGACGUGUCUUGUUACAAUGUGUUUUCUUAUAUGACAGGAGCAUUACUAUGAUCCUCGCAGUGGUCAAGGUUACCUGGCCUAUAGAUUGAAAACAGUGAGCGUAACAAUACAGGCAAAUCCGACACGAAUGCCAGGCCUGUUUAUGAAGGUAGCCUGAAGGUUCUGCGAGAGACCUCAGCAUCUGAACAGCUAUCAGGUGAUGAAUGCAUGGAGGCAAUGUCCAUCAUGAAACAUUCGGUGGACUAGCCAGUUGUCAAAGAAAAAAUGAAGGCAAUGUUCAAGCAUAGACAGAAGAUGCUACGCGAUCCUGACCAGUCCUCGCUUGUCCUGGAUCACUUCCCCCGAUUCCUGGAUACACCAGGCCUGAUAAGAAGUACAUGAACUUAACAACAAUUGAUAGAUAUAUAGUGUAGAUAUAGUGUUGUGUUUUUAAUAUGCUUUUCUUUGUAUUAGAUUGACCAAGACUUCACCAAGCUCUUUGGAGAGGAUGUCUCUGGCAAGUUCAUUGCAAAAUGGGCAACUUUCUACAAGGCUAGGGUCAUCACUGUCUGCAAAAAAAAAAAAAAAAAAGUGCCCUGGCACUCAUCUGGAUGACCUUCUGUUUGCGCAUGAAGAAGCAAGUGAAUGUGGAUGGAACAGUGACUUGGCUGCUAUCCUCCUGCUCGUUCAUCUCUUGCCUCCAACCGCAAAAGGAAAAAGACACGUAAAAAUCAGUACUUCUGAAGCGUCUGACCAUGUGCUCAAAUUCAUGAAGGUUUGGACAAGCAUGGCAACCUUCCUUCACAAUGUUGAAUCCUCACAACCCUUCCUCCUCUGCAUUGGAGAAAAGAAGACGUGUAUUCAGAAAUUUUACAUCAUCCUGGACCACAAGCCCAUUCCCUGCAUGUCGCCGACUGCGGUAGGGGCCUUUGACGAACUGUUUAAGGUGCACUUUGUGUUUUCUCUGUCCUAUGAUGAGGCCUUAUUCAACUUCUAAACUUUCAUCCAAACAACCAUAUACGGCAUCGAUGUGGCCACCGCAAAGGAGAGUCGAAGGGUCAAGGAAAUCAGAGUGAGAAUCAAUAACGUUUAAACAUGUUCAACUGUUACAUUUGCAAGGUUGGCCAAAUAAAUUGUUCUGUUCUUUUUCAGCAUUUCAAAUUCAGCCAUGCUUUGUACCCAGGGAGGUCUUUACGUUUGAAAUGUGGGGAACAUGGCCGUUCAUCUCUUUUUUACACAUAUUGUGGGUUCAAGAAACAUUUAAAGAAAAUUCAUGGACACUGUUUAGCUUCAGAUCCUGUUGAUUGUCCAAAUAAUGAUGACAUGGUGGACAAUGUUUGUGUUAAUCAAUUGCCAAGUGAUUCAACUGUCAGUAACCAAUCCCCUCAAAAAAAAAGGCAGUUGGUGGAUAUGUGUAGCUCAAUUAUCGCUCAAGUGCAACACCAGUGUAAUGUUAAUACAACACUUGCAAGUGUUGUGCCCUGUUAAAUUCAAACAAGAAAUAGUGAUAAGUUAACUAAAAUUGAGUGUUAAACAUUUAACACUCUCCGAAAUGUUACUUUUACACCAGGUAGUGUGGAUGCAUAUAGACUCUUUGCCGGUGUUAAAUUUGACUUCACAGGUGUUAAUUUAACACCAGUGUUUUUGCUGUGCACCUUGGAAAAUGGACAGCCUCGAUGAUGCACAGUAGGUGUGGGAAAAAUAAUCGAUUCUUCGAUGCAUCGCGAUUCUCGCUUGAACGAUUCUGUCUCGAUGCAGAUAAAUUAAUAAUCUGAAUAAAAAAUAUAUAUAUGUAUAUAUAUAUUUUUUUUGCCUGCUGCAACAUUCUGUUCGCCAGAGAGGGAUAAUUUUUUGUAAUUUUAAAAUUAUUAAAUUUAUCUUCAGUGUAUUGGCCAAUCUGAUUUGUCUUGACACGAUUGCGAUUCAGCCAUAGAAUGCGCGCAAACUCACAGCCAGACACAAGAACUCCUUCUAAUUCAAGAGCAGCUUUUCCUUUAAUAACAAAGAAAAGAAAGAUUAGAAAGAAAAUAAAACUGAAACCUAUUUUUUGCAUGCUUCCAUAUUGUGUUAUAAUGCAAGCUCCAUUGAUUAUUGCAUUGUUCAUAGAAAGUCAUAUUUGUGACAAAAGCUUUCUCUCUUAUGAAAUAUAAGAUAAGUUAAUUCAUCUGUUGAUGUCUUUAAUGAUCAUUACAAAAGUAGGAAGUGAUUAGCAAACUCUGAGUAGCAAACCCAGAUGUAUAUAUAUAUUUUAGAAAAUUACGCAUGGAAAUGUACAUAAAAAAAAUUGUUGCAUCGAGAUGCAUCGAUAGUCGCUUCAGAAUCGAAUCGUUGACCUCAUAAUCCGAAUCGAAUCGUUAGGUGCCAAGAGAUUCCAACCCCUAAUGCCCAGCCCCUGUAUCUGUUCCAGCUCCUAAUCUACUCUGUCCUUCAUGAUAUAGGGCACCGCCCUCGGCUUAAAGAAACGUGGUGUGGCAUUGGGGUCGACUCUGAGCUUCACUGUCACUCGCUUCAGUGUGCCCUGCUCGUCCCUGAAAACGUUCCUGUACCGCUGCAGAAUGUCCUCCGACGUGUCUGCAUACUUAAUUUCAUGCCAGUUGAUCCCGAUUUUUUGUAGCCAGUCACGGCCUAAAAGACUGCAUCAUCAUCAUUAUAUGUCUACAUCAUUUCC
This 2684-nucleotide long non-coding RNA is filed under the name Gadus morhua (Atlantic cod). RNAcentral describes it as "lncRNA (ENSGMOG00000034593.1)". Lineage: Eukaryota; Metazoa; Chordata; Actinopteri; Gadiformes; Gadidae. The record is from RNAcentral.